GUGCAGAAGGGAUAGCAGCAAUGGCUUCACGGCCGGAUAGUGAUCCCUGCGUUGCUGUACUGCUGCCUACAACUGCACAUGUACUACACCUAAAGUCGCCACCAGCUCGAGCAUUGAUUGAUGCCAAUGUUGCAGUUGCUCUUGGGACAGAUUUUAAUCCCAAUGCAUACUGUGUCUCCAUGCCUCUGGCUAUGAAUUUAGCAUGUUGUAUGUUUAGAAUGAGUAUGAAUGAAGCACUUGUA
RNAcentral lists this unclassified non-coding RNA (242 nucleotides) under fungal sp. RNAcentral's name for it is "partial internal transcribed spacer region". The record is from RNAcentral. Lineage: Eukaryota; Fungi.